RNAcentral lists this ribosomal RNA (328 nucleotides) under uncultured eukaryote. RNAcentral's name for it is "partial 18S ribosomal RNA". It matches the Rfam family "Eukaryotic small subunit ribosomal RNA", at positions 1470 to 1796 of the family's 1831-position model. The record is from RNAcentral.
CCCUUAGAUGUCCGGGGCUGCACGCGCGCUACACUGAAGGAAUCAGCGUGCUAAAACCAUUGUCGAAAGGCAUUGGUAAACCCAUUAAAAUCCUACGUGAUUGGGAUCGGGGAUUGCAAUUAUUUCCCUUGAACGAGGAAUUCCCAGUAAGUGUGGGUCAUAAGCUCGCGUUGAUUACGUCCCUGCCCUUUGUACACACCGCCCGUCGCUGCCCGGGACUGAGCCGUUUCGAGAAAAGCGGGGACUGCUGCUGUCGGGGCUUUCGGGCCUUGGCUUCGGUGGAAACCGCUUUAAUCGCAGUGGCUUGAACCGGGCAAAANUCGUANCA